GAAAACUGGUAUCCAGUUUCUGUUGGGUAGACUCACAAGUCAUUGUUUUACAGUUCUGCUGUCAUUUUUAAUUUUGGAUUGAUGGCAACCUUCCAACAAUUGCUACUUUCAAAAUUUGGAUUUUGAUUUGCUUUUGUGUUUGUCAUGAGAGUUUGUUUUCCCCAUAAAAAGGUAGGAACAAUUAAUAUAUAGUUGUUUUCAACUUAUUUUUCAAGAGGUUAGGCUUUCUU
This 230-nucleotide unclassified non-coding RNA is filed under the name Hevea brasiliensis (rubber tree). Lineage: Eukaryota; Viridiplantae; Streptophyta; Magnoliopsida; Malpighiales; Euphorbiaceae. The record is from RNAcentral.